This is a non-coding RNA of Paramuricea clavata, 76 nucleotides long. Lineage: Eukaryota; Metazoa; Cnidaria; Anthozoa; Malacalcyonacea; Plexauridae. The record is from the annotation of a GenBank genome assembly.
UGGUGAUGAUGAUGGUGAUGAUGGUGUUGGCGAUGACGGCCCUCAAUUAUCGCCACUACCAUCAUCAUUAUUAAGA